GUGAGGAAUAUUGGUCAAUGGGCGGGAGCCUGAACCAGCCAAGUCGCGUGAAGGAAGAAGGAUCUAUGGUUCGUAAACUUCUUUUGCAGGGGAAUAAAGUGCAGGACGUGUCCUGUUUUGUAUGUACCCUGAGAAUAAGGAUCGGCUAACUCCGUGCCAGCAGCCGCGGUAAUACGGAGGAUCCGAGCGUUAUCCGGCUUUCUUGGGUUUAAAGGGUGCGUAGGUGGUUUGAUAAGUCAGCGGUGAAAGUUUGCAGCUUAACUGUAAAAAUGCCGUUGAAACUGUCGGACUUGAGUGUAAAUGAGGUAGGCGGAAUGCGUGGUGUAGCGGUGACAUGCAUAGAUAUCACGCAGAACUCCGAUUGCGAAGGCAGCUUACUAAGCUACAACUGACACUGAAGCACGAAAGCGUGGGGAUCAAACAGGAUUAGAUACCCGAGUAGUCC
Molecule: ribosomal RNA, 445 nt
Filed under: uncultured bacterium
Lineage: Bacteria
Description: partial 16S ribosomal RNA
Rfam family: Bacterial small subunit ribosomal RNA
Source: RNAcentral